UCCCGCCGCGCGCGGCGGGUGUGGCGGGGGCACGGGGAGACGGGGUGCAGCAGGCGCGAAAACUCCGCAAUACACGAAAGUGUGACGGGGCCAUCCCUAGUGCCAUCCGCUGAGGAUGGCUUUUCCCCAGUGUAUAAAGCUGGGGGAAUAAGGAGAGGGCAAGCCUGGUGUCAGCCGCCGCGGUAAUACCAGCUCUCCGAGUGGUGGGGAUGAUUAUUGGGCCUAAAGCAUUCGUAGCCUGCUUGGCAAGUCCUCCGUUAAAUCCAACGAUUCAAUCGUUGGGCUGCGGGGGAUACUGUCCGGCUAGGGGGCGGGAGAGGCCGACGGUAUCCUCGGGGUAGGGGUGAAAUCCUAUAAUCCCGGGAGGACCACCAGUGGCGAAGGCUGUCGGCUAGAACGCGCUCGACGGUGAGGGAUGAAAGCUGGGGGAGCGAACCGGAUUAGAUACCCGGGUAGUCCCAGCUGUAAACGAUGCAGGCUAGGUGUUGGCGCGGCUACGUGCCGCUCCAGUGCCGCAGGGAAGCCGUUAAGCCUGCCGCCUGGGAAGUACGGCCGCAAGGCUGAAACUUAAAGGAAUUGGCGGGGGAGCACCACAAGGUGUGAAGCUUGCGGUUUAAUUGGAGUCAACGCCGGAAAUCUCACCGGGGGCGACAGCAGAAUGAAGGUCAGAUUGAAGGUCUUACCAGACAAGCUGAGAGGAGGUGCAUGGCCGUCGCCAGUUCGUGCCGUGAGGUGUCCUGUUAAGUCAGGCAACGAUCGAGACCCGCGUCCCCUGUUGCCACCGGCCUUGAGCCGAGCACACUGGGGAGACUGCCGCCGAUAAGGCGGAGGAAGGAGCGGGCCACGGCAGGUCAGUAUGCCCCGAAUCCCCCGGGCUACACGCGAGCUGCAAUGGCAGGUACAGAGGGUCCCAACUCUGAAAAGAGAAGGAAAUCCCUAAAGCCUGCCGUAGUUGGGAUCGAGGGUUGAAACUCACCCUCGUGAACAUGGAAUACCUAGUAACCGCGUGUCACUACCGCGCGGUGAAUACGUCCCUGCUCCUUGCACGAAUUCGCCGA
RNAcentral lists this ribosomal RNA (1058 nucleotides) under uncultured crenarchaeote. Its description in RNAcentral is "bacterial SSU rRNA". It matches the Rfam family "Archaeal small subunit ribosomal RNA", at positions 268 to 1353 of the family's 1478-position model. Lineage: Archaea; Thermoproteati; Thermoproteota. The record is from RNAcentral.